This 25-nucleotide transfer RNA is filed under the name Salvelinus alpinus (Arctic char). RNAcentral describes it as "partial tRNA-Phe". Lineage: Eukaryota; Metazoa; Chordata; Actinopteri; Salmoniformes; Salmonidae. RNAcentral also lists the same sequence under 14 other names. The record is from RNAcentral.
GCUGGCGUAGCUUAAUUAAAGCAUA